UUGCUUCAGCAGUAUAUAUACUAAAAUGGGAACAAUAAAGAGAUUAGCAUGUCCCUUGGUUAAGGAUGACACAGAUUCACGAAGUGUUCCUUUUUUUU
This 98-nucleotide small nuclear RNA is filed under the name Nannospalax galili (Upper Galilee mountains blind mole rat). The record is from RNAcentral. Lineage: Eukaryota; Metazoa; Chordata; Mammalia; Rodentia; Spalacidae.